GGAGAGGUGGCAGAGUCAGGUUGAAUGCGUCCGAUUCGAAAUCGGAUGUCCACUUAAUACGUGGAUCGGGAGUUCGAAUCUCCCCCUCUCCG
This 92-nucleotide transfer RNA is filed under the name Candidatus Omnitrophota bacterium. RNAcentral describes it as "Candidatus Omnitrophica bacterium tRNA-Ser". It matches the Rfam family "tRNA". Rfam says of the family: Transfer RNA (tRNA) molecules are approximately 80 nucleotides in length. Lineage: Bacteria; Pseudomonadati; Candidatus Omnitrophota. The record is from RNAcentral.